RNAcentral lists this non-coding RNA (29 nucleotides) under Bos taurus (domestic cattle). Lineage: Eukaryota; Metazoa; Chordata; Mammalia; Artiodactyla; Bovidae. The record is from RNAcentral. RNAcentral also lists the same sequence under 3 other names.
GCUGGGCCCAUAACCCAGAGGUCGAUGGA